GCAUGCUUGAGGUUCUAACUCUGGUCCGUAAUCCGGAUCGAGGACAGUGUAUGGUGGGCAGUUUGACUGGGGCGGUCUCCUCCUAAAGAGUAACGGAGGAGUACGAAGGUGCGCUCAGACCGGUCGGAAAUCGGUCGCAGAGUAUAAAGGCAAAAGCGCGCUUGACUGCGAGACAGACACGUCGAGCAGGUACGAAAGUAGGUCUUAGUGAUCCGGUGGUUCUGUAUGGAAGGGCCAUCGCUCAACGGAUAAAAGGUACUCCGGGGAUAACAGGCUGAUACCGCCCAAGAGUUCAUAUCGACGGCGGUGUUUGGCACCUCGAUGUCGGCUCAUCACAUCCUGGGGCUGAAGCCGGUCCCAAGGGUAUGGCUGUUCGCCAUUUAAAGUGGUACGCGAGCUGGGUUUAGAACGUCGUGAGACAGUUCGGUCCCUAUCUGCCGUGGACGUUUGAGAUUUGAGAGGGGCUGCUCCUAGUACGAGAGGACCGGAGUGGACGAACCUCUGGUGUUCCGGUUGUCACGCCAGUGGCAUUGCCGGGUAGCUAUGUUCGGAAAAGAUAACCGCUGAAAGCAUCUAAGCGGGAAACUUGCCUCAAGAUGAGAUCUCACUGGGAACUUGAUUCCCCUGAAGGGCCGUCGAAGACUACGACGUUGAUAGGCUGGGUGUGUAAGCGUUGUGAGGCGUUGAGCUAACCAGUACUAAUUGCCCGUGAGGCUUGACCA
Molecule: ribosomal RNA, 722 nt
Filed under: Pseudomonas aeruginosa
Lineage: Bacteria; Pseudomonadati; Pseudomonadota; Gammaproteobacteria; Pseudomonadales; Pseudomonadaceae
Description: partial 23S ribosomal RNA
Rfam family: Bacterial large subunit ribosomal RNA
Source: RNAcentral